AUUGCCUGCCCAGUGACUAAAGUUAAACGGCCGCGGUAUCCUGACCGUGCAAAGGUAGCAUAAUCACUUGUUCCUUAAUUAGGGACUUGCAUGAAUGGCUAAACGAGGGUUCAACUGUCUCUUAUUUCUGAUCAGUGAAAUUGACCUUCCAGUGAAGAGGCUGGAAUUAUAUAAUAAGACGAGAAGACCCUAUGGAGCUUAAAUUUUCAUCUUAUUUAUAAUAUUAUACCCCUAAUGGAACAAAAACAAAUACUAUAAGCUUAAAAUUUUGGUUGGGGUGACCUCGGAGAACAAAAAAUCCUCCGAACGAUGAUAACAUAGACAAACAAGUCAAAGUAACCUAAAUUCUCAAUUGACCCAAAGUAAUUUGAUCAACGGACCAAGUUACCCUAGGGAUAACAGCGCAAUCCUAUUUAAGAGUCCAUAUCGACAAUAGGGUUUACGACCUCGAUGUUGGAUCAGGACAUCCCAAUGGUGCAGAAGCUAUUAAUGGUUCGUUUG
RNAcentral lists this ribosomal RNA (501 nucleotides) under Colomys goslingi (African water rat). RNAcentral's name for it is "partial 16S ribosomal RNA". It matches the Rfam family "Bacterial large subunit ribosomal RNA", at positions 1854 to 2579 of the family's 2925-position model. The record is from RNAcentral. Lineage: Eukaryota; Metazoa; Chordata; Mammalia; Rodentia; Muridae.